This 377-nucleotide ribosomal RNA is filed under the name uncultured cyanobacterium. Its description in RNAcentral is "bacterial SSU rRNA". It matches the Rfam family "Bacterial small subunit ribosomal RNA", at positions 376 to 770 of the family's 1533-position model. The record is from RNAcentral. Lineage: Bacteria; Bacillati; Cyanobacteriota.
CGCAAGCCUGACGGAGCAAGACCGCGUGCGGGAUGACGGCCUAAUGGUUGUAAACCGCUUUUCUCUGGGAAGAUGAUGACGGUACCAGAGGAAUCAGCCUCGGCUAACUCCGUGCCAGCAGCCGCGGUAAUACGGAGGAGGCAAGCGUUAUCCGGAAUUAUUGGGCGUAAAGCGUCCGUAGGUGGUUACUCAAGUCUGCUGUCAAAGCGUGGGGCUUAACUCCAUAGAGGCAGUGGAAACUGGAUGACUUGAGUGCGGUAGGGGUCGAGGGAAUUCCCAGUGUAGCGGUGAAAUGCGUAGAUAUUGGGAAGAACACCAGUGGCGAAAGCGCUCGACUGGGCCUGCACUGACACUGAGGGACGAAAGCUAGGGGAGCG